UCAAGCGAAUAAGCGCACACGGUGGAUGCCUUGGCGGUCAGAGGCGAUGAAGGACGUGGCAGCCUGCGAAAAGUGUCGGGGAGCUGGCAACAAGCUUUGAUCCGGCAAUGUCCGAAUGGGGAAACCCACUGCUUCGGCAGUAUCCUGCAGUGAAUUCAUAGCUGCUGGAAGCGAACCCGGUGAACUGAAAUAUCUAAGUAACCGGAGGAAAAGAAAUCAACCGAGAUUCCCUAAGUAGUGACGAGCGAACGGGGACUAGCCCUUAAGCUGGUAUGGUUUUAGAAAAACAACCUGGAAAGGUUGGCCAUAGAAGGUGAUAGCCCUGUAUUUAAAAGGGCCAUACCAGUGAAGACGAGUAGGGCGGGGCACGUGAAACCCUGUCUGAACAUGGGGGGACCAUCCUCCAAGGCUAAAUACUCCUGACCGACCGAUAGUGAACCAGUACCGUGAGGGAAAGGCGAAAAGAACCCCGGAGAGGGGAGUGAAAUAGAUCCUGAAACCGUGUGCGUACAAGCAGUAGGAGCUCGUAAGAGUGACUGCGUACCUUUUGUAUAAUGGGUCAGCGACUUACUGUUCGUGGCAAGCUUAACCGUAUAGGGGAGGCGAAGGGAAACCGAGUCUGAUAAGGGCGCAUAGUCGCGGGCAGUAGACCCGAAACCGGGUGAUCUAGUCAUGCCCAGGGUGAAGGUCAGGUAACACUGACUGGAGGCCCGAACCCACUCCCGUUGCAAAGGUAGGGGAUGAGGUGUGAUUAGGAGUGAAAAGCUAAUCGAACCCGGAGAUAGCUGGUUCUCCUCGAAAGCUAUUUAGGUAGCGCCUCAUAUGUAUCCUCUCGGGGGUAGAGCACUGUUAUGGCUAGGGGGUCAUCGCGACUUACCAAACCAUUGCAAACUCCGAAUACCGAGACGGACUGUAUGGGAGACACACGGCGGGUGCUAACGUCCGUCGUGAAAAGGGAAACAACCCAGACCCACAGCUAAGGUCCCAAAUUCACUGCUAAGUGGAAAACGAUGUGGAAAGGCAUAGACAGCCAGGAGGUUGGCUUAGAAGCAGCCACCCUUUAAAGAAAGCGUAAUAGCUCACUGGUCGAGUCGGUCUGCGCGGAAGAUUUAACGGGGCUAAGCAGUGAACCGAAGCUUGGGGUGCAUCGCGUUAAGCGAUGCGCGGUAGAGGAGCGUUCCGUAAGCCUGCGAAGGUGGAUUGAGAAGUCUGCUGGAGGUAUCGGAAGUGCGAAUGCUGACAUGAGUAACGAUAAUGCGGGUGAAAAACCCGCACGCCGAAAGCCCAAGGUUUCCUUGCGCAACGUUAAUCGGCGCAGGGUGAGUCGGCCCCUAAGGCGAGGGCGAAAGCCGUAGUCGAUGGGAAGCAGGUUAAUAUUCCUGCACCUCGCGUAAGUGCGAUGGAGGGACGGAGAAGGUUAGGUGUACCGGGCGUUGGUUGUCCCGGGGAAAGGCGGUAGGUUUGGAUCCUUGGCAAAUCCGGGGUCCUUUAAGACCGAGCACCGAGACGAGUCUUUGAGACGAAGUCACUGAUACCACGCUUCCAGGAAAAGCUCCUAAGCUUCAGCUUACGCAGACCGUACCGUAAACCGACACAGGUGGGUAGGAUGAGAAUUCUCAGGCGCUUGAGAGAACUCGGGUGAAGGAACUAGGCAACAUGGCACCGUAACUUCGGGAGAAGGUGCACCCUUUUUGGUGGCUCGUGCGAGCUAUAGCUGAAGAGGGUCGCAGAAACCAGGCCGCUGCGACUGUUUAUCAAAAACACAGCACUCUGCAAACACGAAAGUGGACGUAUAGGGUGUGACGCCUGCCCGGUGCUGGAAGGUUAAUUGAUGGGGUCAGCCGCAAGGCGAAGCUCUUGAUCGAAGCCCCAGUAAACGGCGGCCGUAACUAUAACGGUCCUAAGGUAGCGAAAUUCCUUGUCGGGUAAGUUCCGACCUGCACGAAUGGCGUAACGACAGCGGCGCUGUCUCCACCCGAGACUCAGUGAAAUUGAAAUCGCUGUGAAGAUGCAGCGUUCCCGUGGCAAGACGGAAAGACCCCGUGAACCUUUACUAUAGCUUUACACUGAACGUUGAGUUCGUCUGUGUAGGAUAGGUGGGAGGCUAUGAAACCAUGGCGCUAGCUGUGGUGGAGCCAUCCUUGAAAUACCACCCUGUCGUGCUUGACGUUCUAACCUAGGUCCGUGAUCCGGAUCGGGGACCGUGUAUGGUGGGUAGUUUGACUGGGGCGGUCUCCUCCUAAAGAGUAACGGAGGAGCACGAAGGUACGCUCAGCGCGGUCGGACAUCGCGCACUGUGUGCAAAGGCAUAAGCGUGCUUGACUGCAAGAUCGACGGAUCAAGCAGGUACGAAAGUAGGUCUUAGUGAUCCGGUGGUUCUGUAUGGAAGGGCCAUCGCUCAACGGAUAAAAGGUACUCCGGGGAUAACAGGCUGAUACCGCCCAAGAGUUCAUAUCGACGGCGGUGUUUGGCACCUCGAUGUCGGCUCAUCACAUCCUGGGGCUGUAGUCGGUCCCAAGGGUAUGGCUGUUCGCCAUUUAAAGUGGUACGCGAGCUGGGUUCAGAACGUCGUGAGACAGUUCGGUCCCUAUCUGCCAUGGGCGUUGGAGAUUUGAGAGGGGCUGCUCCUAGUACGAGAGGACCGGAGUGGACGAACCUCUGGUGUUCCGGUUGUCACGCCAGUGGCAUUGCCGGGUAGCUAUGUUCGGAAGCGAUAACCGCUGAAAGCAUCUAAGCGGGAAGCGCGCCUCAAGAUGAGAUCUCCCGGGACACAAGUCCCCUAAAGGAACCAUGUAGACUACGUGGUUGAUAGGUCAGGUGUGUAAGUGCAGCAAUGCAUUGAGCUAACUGAUACUAAUGAUCCGUGCGGCUUGACCAU
This 2878-nucleotide ribosomal RNA is filed under the name Xanthomonas albilineans. Its description in RNAcentral is "bacterial LSU rRNA". It matches the Rfam family "Bacterial large subunit ribosomal RNA". The record is from RNAcentral. Lineage: Bacteria; Pseudomonadati; Pseudomonadota; Gammaproteobacteria; Lysobacterales; Lysobacteraceae.